UACGUAGGGGGCGAGCGUUGUCCGGAUUCAUUGGGCGUAAAGCGCGCGCAGGCGGCUUCGUAAGUCGGCCGUGAAAUCCCCGGGCUUAACCUGGGAACUGCGCUUGUUACUGGCAAGCUUGAGUGUGGCAGAGGGGGGUGGAAUUCCACGUGUAGCAGUGAAAUGCGUAGAGAUGUGGAGGAACACCGAUGGCGAAGGCAGCCCCCUGGGCUAACACUGACGCUCAGGCACGAAAGCGUGGGGAGCAAACAGG
RNAcentral lists this ribosomal RNA (253 nucleotides) under uncultured bacterium. Its description in RNAcentral is "partial 16S ribosomal RNA". It matches the Rfam family "Bacterial small subunit ribosomal RNA", at positions 524 to 776 of the family's 1533-position model. The record is from RNAcentral.